GUUGCUCAAGCUAGCCUGAAACAAUCCUCCUGCCUCAGUGUCCUGAGUCACCAUGCUCACACAUCAUUUUGUUGUGUUAAGAAAACUACAGCACAUCACAAUCACAUCCUGGAGGAAACUACUGGGGAAAUGGAAGCUGUUGAGUCUGCAUGAGGAAGUUCCCACAAAGAUCCUCUUCUGUUGCCAGUUCUGGGGGUCCAGGUGGUUGAGAAUCAGAGCAUUCCAUCUCAUUUCCCUUUGGAGUUGCUGUUGGCCCAGAACCCUUCUACUCUGCACUGGGAGCUGUGGUACAUUGCCCUGGAAGACUCCCCUGCACUGGCAACUGUUGCACAUCAACCCGGAAGCCUGCUCUGUGGUGGGAGCUGUCUCAUGUAGACCUAGAAGCCUCCUCUAUGCCGGGAGUGGUGGUAAGUUGGCCCAGAAGCCUCCUACUCUACACUGGGAGCUGUGGCACAUCAACCUGGAAGUCUUCUCUGCACUGAGAGCUGUAGCAUGUCGACCUGGAACCCUUCUCUGUGCUGGGAGCUGUAGCACAUCGACCCGGAAGCCUCCUCCAUGCUGGGAACACUGGUAUGUUGGCCCAGAAGCCUCCUACUCUGCACUGGGAGCUGUGGCAUGUUGCUCCAGAAGAUUUCUCUGUGCUGGGAGCUGUAGUAUGUUGACCCAGAACCCUCCUCUGCGCUGGGAGCAGUGGUAGGUUGACCCAGAAGCCUCCUACUCUGCACUGGAAGCUGUAGUACAUUGACCUGGAAGCCUCUUCUGCACUGGGAGCUGUAGCAGAGUUUGAUUGAGUUCUAGUAUUUUGUUGUUUAUUUUUUGUCUAGUUGAUCUAUUUGUG
RNAcentral lists this long non-coding RNA (838 nucleotides) under Heterocephalus glaber (naked mole-rat). RNAcentral's name for it is "lncRNA (ENSHGLG00100035732.1)". Lineage: Eukaryota; Metazoa; Chordata; Mammalia; Rodentia; Bathyergidae. The record is from RNAcentral.